CACAAUCAUAUUUUCAUACAGCUGCUACAGUGCAACCCCUCUUACUUUGCCAACAGGAUGUAUGCCAUAUGAAAUGGAGAAACAAUUCUACCUUUGUUUUUCACCAUCAAAAGAAGUAUCAAAGUCAGAAAGAAGUUAUGAGAAAUCAUAUUUUAUGUUUUUUUUCUGCAACACACUAAGUAACCUAAUUUUGUUACUUAUUACAAAUGCUGUUGACUGCGAU
RNAcentral lists this long non-coding RNA (223 nucleotides) under Gallus gallus (chicken). The record is from RNAcentral. Lineage: Eukaryota; Metazoa; Chordata; Aves; Galliformes; Phasianidae.